GUAGGUGGCAAGCGUUGUCCGGAAUUAUUGGGCGUAAAGCGCGCGCAGGCGGUCCUUUAAGUCUGAUGUGAAAGCCCACGGCUCAACCGUGGAGGGUCAUUGGAAACUGGGGGACUUGAGUACAGAAGAGGAAAGCGGAAUUCCAAGUGUAGCGGUGAAAUGCGUAGGGAUUUGGAGGAACACCAGUGGCGAAGGCGGCUUUCUGGUCUGUAACUGACGCUGAGGCGCGAAAGCGUGGGGAGCAAACAGGAUUAGAUACCCUGGUAGUCCACGCCGUAAACGAUGAGUGCUAAGUGUUAGGGGGUUUCCCGCCCCCUUAGUGCUGCAGCUAACGCAUUAAGCACUCCGCCUGGGGGAGUACGGCCGCAAGGCUG
RNAcentral lists this ribosomal RNA (374 nucleotides) under uncultured organism. RNAcentral describes it as "partial 16S ribosomal RNA". It matches the Rfam family "Bacterial small subunit ribosomal RNA", at positions 527 to 896 of the family's 1533-position model. The record is from RNAcentral.